RNAcentral lists this non-coding RNA (241 nucleotides) under uncultured Veillonella sp. The record is from RNAcentral. Lineage: Bacteria; Bacillati; Bacillota; Negativicutes; Veillonellales; Veillonellaceae.
AUUAGCAUUAACAUGAUAAAACCAGGUACAAACAUAGCUGCAGCCCAUUGUGCCCAAUUCAAGGAUACACCAGUCAAUUUAGUAAUGAAAUCAAGUGCUAAGUAAUUUGGUGCCAUUGCUGUAGCGAAUAAGAAAGAUGUUACCUUUGUUGCAAAGUAACCAUUCUGUAAGAGGUAAGCACCUGCUUUUUUAGCAGUUUCACCAGGAUAUGAACCAACCGCUUCAGCGAUAGAUAAGUUGA